Molecule: long non-coding RNA, 542 nt
Organism: Tympanuchus pallidicinctus (lesser prairie-chicken)
Lineage: Eukaryota; Metazoa; Chordata; Aves; Galliformes; Phasianidae
Exons: 3
Source: RefSeq, a predicted model, not a curated record
GGAGAUCCCUGUGUACCUGAGGACUUCUGAAGGAUGCUGAGUGCUAUUGGUAUUCCAAAGUUCGGGUUAAAUUCAGCUCAUGAUGUCUGAAGAAUGCAGUACAUCAGUAAGGAAAGCUUUCAAUUUACAACUCUGGCUGUCCUUGAGCUGGUGCUUUGUAUUUGUUACAGUCUCCUGAGGGAGGAUUCAUUGACUGGUGACUCAACAUUUUAACUCACAGAAAAUUCAUUCUCAUUCUGGUGUCUUCAAUUUUUCAGAAGACCUUACUGUUCUUCAUUGAUUAUGGACUGAGGAUUAAUUAUGCUGUCACUUAGUGUAUUUACAUGCUUGAGCAAUAUAUUGACUCACUUAUUUUAGUAUGGUCAGCAUUAUUCCUUGGUAUGGGGCAUGUUUAUUUUAUUAAUGGUUGCAGAGCAACAUGUUGCCAUUAAAAUGAAUGGAAGAGAUCAGAUAGCGAAGCUGUAUUUAUUCCCUCAGUAAAUCUCUAAAGAUAAUUUUCUUACUACUCUGAGAACUGGAAUGCCUACAUCUUUUGCCUUGAA